UACGGAGGAUGCGAGCGUUAUCCGGAUUUAUUGGGUUUAAAGGGUGCGUAGGCGGAUUUUUAAGUCAGCGGUAAAAUGUCCGGGCUCAACCCGGGCCGGCCGUUGAAACUGGGGAUCUUGAGUGGGCGAGAAGUAUGCGGAAUGCGUGGUGUAGCGGUGAAAUGCAUAGAUAUCACGCAGAACUCCGAUUGCGAAGGCAGCGUACCGGCAUCCAACUGACGCUGAGGCACGAAAGCGCGGGGAUCAAACAGG
RNAcentral lists this ribosomal RNA (252 nucleotides) under uncultured bacterium. RNAcentral's name for it is "partial 16S ribosomal RNA". It matches the Rfam family "Bacterial small subunit ribosomal RNA", at positions 524 to 776 of the family's 1533-position model. The record is from RNAcentral.